CCUACGGGUGGCAGCAGUGAGGAAUAUUGGUCAAUGGACGAGAGUCUGAACCAGCCAAGUAGCGUGAAGGAUGACUGCCCUAUGGGUUGUAAACUUCUUUUAUAUGGGAAUAAAAUGUUCCACGUGUGGGAUUUUGUAUGUACCAUAUGAAUAAGGAUCGGCUAACUCCGUGCCAGCAGCCGCGGUAAUACGGAGGAUCCGAGCGUUAUCCGGAUUGAUUGGGUUUAAAGGGAGCGUAGGUGGGUUGUUAAGUCAGUUGGGAAAGUUUGCGGCUCAACCGUAAAAUUGCAGUUGAAACUGGCAGGCUUGAGUCAAGUAGAGGUGGGCGGAAUUCGAGGUGUAGCGGUGAAAUGCUUAGAUAUCACGAAGAACUCCGAUUGCGAAGGCAGCUCCCUGGACUGCAACUGACACUGAGGCUCGAAAGUGUGGGUAUCGAACAGGAUUAGAUACCCUAGUAGUC
This 460-nucleotide ribosomal RNA is filed under the name uncultured bacterium. Its description in RNAcentral is "partial 16S ribosomal RNA". It matches the Rfam family "Bacterial small subunit ribosomal RNA", at positions 338 to 795 of the family's 1533-position model. The record is from RNAcentral.